Non-coding RNA from Triticum urartu, 3240 nucleotides. NCBI's taxonomy places the organism in Eukaryota, Viridiplantae, Streptophyta, Magnoliopsida, Poales, Poaceae. The record is from RefSeq and is a predicted model, not a curated record.
UUAGUGAAACUUUACAAAGCUUGACUUUGACCAAACCUAAUAUGCAGACUAAAAAGAAACGAAGGGAGUAUUUUGUAAACUAACAUGAAGAAGAUCAACAUUAUUAUCUAUGUUUCUGACUAUUCUGCAAAAUCUAGCUUGUUCUAGUCCUACAAUUUCGUAGUUGUUGUUGAAUACAAUACACUAAAAAUGUAUGCAAUACCACUGUAUAUAAUGGUUGAGUGUAAGAUAACCAGUUUCGAUCUUUCUCUGAUCAUAAUUGAUUCCCGUGAACCAACAGCUAGAAGAUCUUGCCCAAUAAUUUGUAAGUCCAUGGAACAGGCCAGUUGUGUAUGAUACAGACAGUGCCGGUCGGCUAUGGUAAAGUAAAAUACACGAGAAACUAAUGCUGUUUUAAUAUUACUAUAACAGAAGUAGAACAAGCCGUCCGUCCAAUCAAUAUUACUGCACUGUGGACCAAGACACAUAAUUCUGGUUGGCCAUGAUUAUCCGUUUUAUGGCACCCAAUUCUUUCACCACAGCGCCCAUCUUUAUGCGCUGUCUUGCAGAGCCCCUGCAGCAAGCUAGACCAAGUCUUGAAACUGGAGCAGCGAACAAUUCUAAAGUCACUUGAGGCUCUUGAUCGCAUCUUAUAUUGACGUCCAUUAUAUCCAACAGAUUACCAGGACAUGCCAUCUCAACGUACUUUGGUAGAUUCGUAGUAUCACCGAAAAAUGGGUCAGUUGGCCUUCUCCCAGUAAGCAUCUCCAACAAUAGCACACCAUAGCUGUACACGUCGCCUUCCACAGAUAUUCCUGUCCCCGUGCCAUACUCUGGUAAAGAAAGGAAAAGAAAGGGUUUGUGUUAGCUUUCUUAUAAACUACUCCCUCUGUUCCGAAAUAGUUGUCGUCGGGGAUUAUCAGUUCAUUUUUUGUCACGUUACGAUAUUUCUCCCGUUUCCCCUUUUGCCCUCGCACUCGCUCUCUCCCCGACCACACGCUCUCUCCCGGCCAACACUCUCUCCCCGACCACUCGCUCCUCCCCGCCCAGAUCCCUUGCGCCGCCGGCCAGUCGCCGCCCUCUCCCUCUCGUCGGUGUCUUCCUCACCGCAGCCUUGCUCCUCACCACCCCUAAAACUAGCAACCCGUCUCCCCCUCGUCGGUCAAAGGUGAAAUUUUUACCAGCCGGGGUGCUCGAUCUGUGGGCGGCGGUGCUCGAUCCGUGUUGGAGCAGCGGGAGGAGGAGGGCAGUGCUGGAUUGGAGCAGUGGUGCUGGACCGGAGCAGCGGGAAUAGGGGGGUGGUGCCGGCCGCUCUUACUUUGUGUAGUCCUCUUCGCUCUCGUCAUGUCGUUGCCGCCGCCGAGGAAGAUGGAGAGCCUGUCGGAGGGAGGAGCGCCAUGGCCAGUUCUGACCUCCUCCGUCCAGAUCCAGCUCCAGCAAUCAUCCCCUCUUGCUGCUUGCUCUCUCAAUUUCAAGACUGAAGAAGAGAACAUGGGGAGCAGCAGCUGCCCUCUGCUCUGCUCUUAUGCGAAUGCUCUACUGCAGGACCGUGGCAGCGAUGCUCGCCGAAGCGGACGACAACCACUCCCGUGCAAACAAAGGUACAGACUGGUCCUGGUGAGCAUUCAGGAAAAGAACACUUGGCUAAACUUCAGGAAAAAGAUGCACCGAAUCUUAGUGGAGUGAAGUUGAGGUCUGGGAGAUCCAUUUUCUCCUGAAGAUAUGAAUAUGUAAGAUGAAGUAGAAGUAGAAGUAGAAGUACAAGAAGAAGAAGAAGAAGAAGAAGAAGAAGUACAUAUAAAUUCAGUCUGUGUACUGUCAAUUGUUGUAUGUUUACUGUCAAAGCAAGAAUUAGUCAAUUGCUGUCUGUUUACUGUCAAAGCAAGAAUGACAAUAUUGUUAUGGUCAAUUGUUGUCCGUUUACUGUCAAAGCAAGAAUUAGUUUCCUAGGUUAAUGAAACAUUACCAGCCAUAAUUAGUUUUCUGUAUCUUAAUUAUCUCUGAACAUUUUUGCCUGAAAACUGAAUGUACAAUGUUUCUGUAGAUAAUUUGGUCGAAAAGGGACGACAUGCUGAGGUGUACAACAUUCAGUUUCUCUUUCGACAUGCUGAGCUCUAUAAGUGCUCACAUUCUUUGUAUGGAUCUUAUUGAAUGAGUACUUGUUAACAUUGGUACCAUUUUCUUCAGAUUUUCGUUGGUGGUCUUCUGAUUGAUUUGGAAGGAAGAAUUGUUGGUAUGAAUUUCAUAGACGAGAAUAGAACUCCCUUUUUGCCCGUCCAGAUUGUUGGGAGAUGCCUGAAACACUUCAGAAAUUUGGGACACUUCUUUCCUGUAUAUGGGACGAUUGCUUGAAGGAUUUGGUGUUGGUGUCAUAUCCUACACGGUGAACAGAUGGACAGUGGCUGCUCCUUGCUGAUCAAUUCAAAAUUGCUCUGGCUAUCAAUUCAAGCUUGCUGUGACUGGUGAGAAGACGUCCUGGUCAAUCACCACAUCUGAUCAAUUUCAGUCUGUGGCGAGAAGAAGUGGUACAACUCCGGCGAUCAAUUUCUUUGGCGAUUAACAAUUUUGAUCAAUUCAAACAGCAACACAGGCAGCGCUAGUGCUGCUGUUGGUCAGUGCGGGGAGGAGCACGGGCGGAGGUCAAUUGGCCGGAUCCGGAGCUCCAGUGCCUAAAUCGAGGAGCUGGAAGGCUGAGGCAGGAGUAGGAGCACAGGCUGCGCUGCUGCUGCUGUUGGUCAGUGCGGGGAGGAGCACGGACGGAGGUCAAUUGGCCGGAUCCGGAGCUCCAGUGCCUGAAUCGAGGAGCUGGAAGGCUCAGGCAGGAGGAGGAGGAGCACGGGCGGCGCUGCUGCUGGUCGGUGCGGGGAGGAGCAUGGGCGGCGCGAAGGCCAGGAGUCGCGGGCGGCGCGACGGCCAGGAGUCGCGGGCGGCUGGAGGCUGUGGCGGACGGCGAGGGAGCUGCGUACGAGUUUGGGCUCUUGAUUGGAGCGGAGGAAGGCGGCCGACGAGGGAGCUGCGGCCAGCGCGGACGGACGCCGGAGCUGCAGCAGUGGGAUGGAGCCUGGCGGAGGGGAGGAGCGAUGGAGUAAGACGAAGAUCCCCGGCGACAAGAAUUUCAAAUUGAGGGUAGUUUGGUACUUUAUCCUGUUUUCACCUGGUCGGAAAAGUUCCCCAACGACAACUAUUCGGAAAAGUUCCCCAACGACAACUAUUUCAGAACAGAGGGAGUAUAUGGUAUAAAUAUAAUUCAUUCCACUCAAA